This 1370-nucleotide long non-coding RNA is filed under the name Homo sapiens (human). Its description in RNAcentral is "PREDICTED lncRNA (TCONS_00182880)". Lineage: Eukaryota; Metazoa; Chordata; Mammalia; Primates; Hominidae. The record is from RNAcentral.
GCCGGGGCGUCCCCCGCGGGAGCCCGCAGCCACCCGGGACGCGCAUCCAGACGUGGCGCUUCGGACCGGGCACGCUGCGCCCGGGGGCUCGGCGGACCCCGCGUAGCCGCCGCUUCGGAGCUUGUGCGGCGCGGGCUGGCCAGCGGGGCGGCCAGGGCCCGGCCCGCCUCCCCAGCGCCCGCCCGGCUUCUCCCCCUGGCGGUGGGAGCCUCGGCGGCCGCUGGCGACACUAGGCGCACUGAAGCCCGAGCCGAGCCGAGCCCGAGCCGCCGCCGCCGCCGCCGCUGCUGCGCACCGCUCCCGGGCUCCCUCCCAGCGCGCCGGCCGGGGUGUGGGGGGCGGCGGGCCGGAGGGGCGAGGGCGGGCCAGGGGGCGCACACGGGGGUUGGCGCGGAAGACAGGACCCUCAGCCUCGAGGGAGCCCCUAGGUGACCAGGCAAAAUGGCAGUUCCUUCCAGCUGGUCCUCAGAUGGGCACAUCUAUUAGCCUCUGCUCUUGUAAGAAGUUAGCUGCAGAACCCACAUGUGAAUCCUUGUAGGACUCUGGAGAAGAUCAAAUGGGAGCUUAGAUGUGGAAGCUCUUUGGAAACCAAGAAACACUCUGAAAAUGAAAAGGAUACCAACUUCAUCUCUCUUUAAGAAUACAAUAUUAGUUUAAAAGAUUGUUCAACUUAAAGCAAUCUUGUAGAGAUUGUCACCCAUGAUUGAUGCUGGGUGGAAGAGUAAACUGUUCCUGUUUCUCCAUCUUGACAGGAAGCAGAAGUUCUCCUUAGCUGAUUUUUCUUCUUGCCUUAUACUGGGUUCUUUAACACCAGAACAAAAAUAAAUAAAUAAAAGAAUCUUCCAGAAAUUCAUGAAGAGACUUCAGGUCAGGAAAGCCUGAACUUUCUCAUCCAACACCCGUUCAAGUCGGAGGAUGCUGAUUAAUUCAUGAUGGAAAGGUAUCAAUUUCACAGCCCAGACCUCUACAUUCUUGAAAUGCUCUUCUCAUGGGAGACAUUAAAUAAGCUUUGAAUUAACUAAAAAUAUCCAACCCGAGCAGGAUAAAACUGAUCAUCCUGAGGAUAUUGCCCUUGGAGUUAAUUUUUUGAGAGAAAUAAAACAAUAAACAUCAUAAGACACAAACCCCAAGCAACUGAUCUCACUGUUAAAAUCCAACCUGAGAACAAUGGAAUGGACCAUACUGUCUUUGUCACAACUCUGCCAUUGCAGCGUGAAAGCAUCCAUAGACGGUACACAAAUGCAUGGAUGUAGUUGUACUCCAGUACAACUGCAAAAAGCAGACAGCUGGCUGGGUUUAGCCUACGGGCCAUAGUUUACACAACUCAAUCUAGGUGAUUGCCUGGUAACUUUGUGAUUGUAAACAGGAAA